UGAGUAACCUGCCCUUAACUCUGGGAUAAGCCUGGGAAACUGGGUCUAAUACCGGAUAUGACUCCUCAUCGCAUGGUGGGGGGUGGAAAGCUUUAUUGUGGUUUUGGAUGGACUCGCGGCCUAUCAGCUUGUUGGUGAGGUAAUGGCUCACCAAGGCGACGACGGGUAGCCGGCCUGAGGGGGUGACCGGCCACACUGGGACUGAGACACGGCCCAGACUCCUACGGGAGGCAG
This 234-nucleotide ribosomal RNA is filed under the name uncultured bacterium. Its description in RNAcentral is "partial 16S ribosomal RNA". It matches the Rfam family "Bacterial small subunit ribosomal RNA", at positions 118 to 351 of the family's 1533-position model. The record is from RNAcentral.